GACGAACCGUGCAAACGUUGUUCGGAAUCACUGGGCUUAAAGGGCGCGUAGGCGGGCAGUCAAGUCUGUGGUGAAAUCUUUCGGCUCAACCGGAAAAUUGCCGUGGAUACUGGCUGUCUUGAGGGAGGUAGGGGCCCGUGGAACUUCCGGUGGAGCGGUGAAAUGCGUUGAUAUCGGAAGGAACGCCGGUGGCGAAAGCGGCGGGCUGGAUCUCUUCUGACGCUGAGGCGCGAAAGCUAGGGGAGCAAAC
RNAcentral lists this ribosomal RNA (250 nucleotides) under uncultured bacterium. RNAcentral's name for it is "partial 16S ribosomal RNA". It matches the Rfam family "Bacterial small subunit ribosomal RNA", at positions 524 to 773 of the family's 1533-position model. The record is from RNAcentral.